Dendrobium catenatum is the source of this 88-nucleotide small nucleolar RNA. RefSeq annotates it as small nucleolar RNA U61. The record is from RefSeq and is a predicted model, not a curated record. NCBI's taxonomy places the organism in Eukaryota, Viridiplantae, Streptophyta, Magnoliopsida, Asparagales, Orchidaceae. The transcript has a single exon.
UGGCGAUGAUGAAAUAAGAUCCGUGUUUCGGAGGCGGAUGGUAGUUCGCCGAUGAUGGCAUCACAAACCUCUAAGAAGUUCUGAGCUU